This 456-nucleotide ribosomal RNA is filed under the name uncultured soil bacterium. RNAcentral's name for it is "bacterial SSU rRNA". It matches the Rfam family "Bacterial small subunit ribosomal RNA", at positions 26 to 518 of the family's 1533-position model. The record is from RNAcentral.
AGAACGAACGCUGGCGGCAGGCUUAACACAUGCAAGUCGAACGCGUGUAGCAAUACACGAGUGGCGCACGGGUGAGUAACGCGUGGAUAUCUGCCUUUUGGUUCGGAAUAACCCCGGGAAACUGGGGCUAAUACCGGAUGGUUCCUUCGGGAUAAAGAUUUAUCGCCAAAAGAUGAGUCCGCGUCCGAUUAGCUAGUUGGUGAGGUAAUGGCUCACCAAGGCGACGAUCGGUAGCUGGUCUGAGAGGACGAUCAACCACACUGGGACUGAGACACGGCCCAGACUCCUACGGGAGGCAGCAGUGGGGAUAUUGGACAAUGGGGGCAACCCUGAUCCAGCCAUGCCGCGUGAGUGAUGGAAGGCCUUCGGGUUGUAAAGUCGUUCUUUUGGCGGGGACGAGUGAGUGACGGUACCCGCAGAAGUAACGCCCCGUCUAACGUUCGUGCCAGCAGCCGC